RNAcentral lists this ribosomal RNA (253 nucleotides) under uncultured bacterium. RNAcentral describes it as "partial 16S ribosomal RNA". It matches the Rfam family "Bacterial small subunit ribosomal RNA", at positions 524 to 776 of the family's 1533-position model. The record is from RNAcentral.
UACGGAGGAGGCAAGCGUUAUCCGGAAUUAUUGGGAGUAAAGCGUCCGUAGGUGGUCAUGUAAGUCGGUCGUCAAAGCCAGAGGCUCAACCUCUGUCAGGCGGUGGAAACUGCAAGACUAGAGAGAGGUAGGGGUAGAGGGAAUUCCCAGUGUAGCGGUGAAAUGCGUAGAGAUUGGGAAGAACAUCGGUGGCGAAAGCGCUCUACUGGUCCUUUUCUGACACUGAUGGACGAAAGCUAGGGGAGUGAAUGGG